Molecule: ribosomal RNA, 492 nt
Filed under: uncultured bacterium
Lineage: Bacteria
Description: partial 16S ribosomal RNA
Rfam family: Bacterial small subunit ribosomal RNA
Source: RNAcentral
AGUGAACGCUGGCGGUAGGCCUAAUACAUGCAAGUCGAACGGAAGCACAGUAAGCGUUCGCCCUUACCGUUGGCGAGUGACGGGCGGGUAAGGCAUACAUCACCUACUUAUAUUUCGUGGGGGACUACGUAGGGCCGCUUCCGCUACUACCGCAUAUGUUGUACCGGAUAAAUCAGUAGUUAAUGGGGGCUUUCGUGUCACUAAGAGCUGAUGCCGCAUUAGCUAGUUGGCGUGGUAAAGGCACACCAAGGCAACGAUGCGUAGCUGAUCUGAGAGGAUGAUCGGCCACACUGGAACUGAGACACGGUCCAGACUCCUACGGGAGGCAGCAGUAGGGAAUAUUCGGCAAUGGGCGAAAGCUUGACGGAGCAAUGCCGCGUGAGUGAUGAAGGUCUUCGGAUCGUAAAACUCUGUUAUUGGGGAAGAAAAGCUGUAUAAGUAACCCCCCCUGUUCUGACGGUACCCAAAGAGUAAGCAACGGCUAACUUCGUG